This 432-nucleotide ribosomal RNA is filed under the name Pseudoxanthomonas sp. A36C5. RNAcentral's name for it is "bacterial SSU rRNA". It matches the Rfam family "Bacterial small subunit ribosomal RNA", at positions 56 to 478 of the family's 1533-position model. The record is from RNAcentral. Lineage: Bacteria; Pseudomonadati; Pseudomonadota; Gammaproteobacteria; Lysobacterales; Lysobacteraceae.
UGCAGUCGAACGGCAGCACGAGAGAGCUUGCUCUCUUGGUGGCGAGUGGCGGACGGGUGAGGAAUACAUCGGAAUCUACCUUUUGGUGGGGGAUAACGUAGGGAAACUUACGCUAAUACCGCAUACGCCCUUCGGGGGAAAGCCGGGGACCUUCGGGCCUGGCGCUGAUAGAUGAGCCGAUGUCGGAUUAGCUAGUUGGUGAGGUAAUGGCUCACCAAGGCGACGAUCCGUAGCUGGUCUGAGAGGAUGAUCAGCCACACUGGAACUGAGACACGGUCCAGACUCCUACGGGAGGCAGCAGUGGGGAAUAUUGGACAAUGGGCGCAAGCCUGAUCCAGCCAUACCGCGUGGGUGAAGAAGGCCUUCGGGUUGUAAAGCCCUUUUGUUGGGAAAGAAAAGCGAUCGGUUAAUACCCGGUUGUUCUGACGGUAC